GGCCCGGUGGCGGAGUUGGUUAACGCACCCGUCUGGAAAGCGGAGGUCGCCCAUCGUGGGGCGCGAGGGUUCAAGUCCCUCCCGGGUCU
This 89-nucleotide transfer RNA is filed under the name Novosphingobium marinum. It matches the Rfam family "tRNA". Rfam says of the family: Transfer RNA (tRNA) molecules are approximately 80 nucleotides in length. Their secondary structure includes four short double-helical elements and three loops (D, anti-codon, and T loops). The record is from Rfam by way of RNAcentral. Lineage: Bacteria; Pseudomonadati; Pseudomonadota; Alphaproteobacteria; Sphingomonadales; Sphingomonadaceae.